Lathyrus oleraceus (garden pea) is the source of this 2057-nucleotide long non-coding RNA. RefSeq lists it as uncharacterized. NCBI's taxonomy places the organism in Eukaryota, Viridiplantae, Streptophyta, Magnoliopsida, Fabales, Fabaceae. The transcript has 3 exons. The record is from RefSeq and is a predicted model, not a curated record.
GUCAUAGAUCGAGCCACUCCAUCACCACAUGUGCCAUUUGAAUCCGAAGAAGAUCAAAAGAAAAGUUCAUAUGCGAGCACAACAAUAGAAAAUUGUUCUGCUUCGGAGCAGCAACAUCAUCGCGUUUCGACGUCGUCACUGCGUCUUCAUCCAUUCCAACGUCGCGUGGAUUCAACAUCUUCACGUCUCCGACCUUCAAGAAUGGCGUUGCGGAACAUUGCGUUUCGAUUCAUCGUUGCUCAAGUUCGAUGCCUCGCUGUCGAGAUAUAAAAUUGACAGAAAAACAUGAAGAAUAGCUAGCUUAGCUUAAAGUGCUUACCGAAUCAGCGUCGGCUUCACUGGUGGUGGGGUACAGAGUUCUCUGUACUGCAGCCAUUUAUGCCGUCUAGAGCAAUGAUAAGCAUGGAAGACAAUGGGCUAUUGGCGGGAAAAGCGAUUUCGGACAACGAAUUAGCGAGGUCUUUAAAGGCAUUACUACAUAUUAUAUUGCUACCAAGGUUAGCAUACAUAUCAACCAUAAGUGUCUUUGGCCGGAAAAAUUCGACAAGGGCCUCCUUGGCUACCUUUUGCUACUGCUAUGAACCCCAUACCUGCUUUGUGUAAGCCUCAAAAUGACGCAAGAAAAAUGCUUCUAGCUGCAAUUUGAAUUCGGUACAAAGAUGAUGAUAUAAAUUGAGGAUAAUGCUACACACCAUUAGAAGUAUGAGUGGACUUAUUGACAAACCAAAUUAUAUCAGAUUAUGAAACAACUCACCUUGAAUUAAGCUUAGAAGCUUUUACGACGGUGGAUAGAAGGCCCUCCAAGUUCUAUAGUCGCAUUGAUUAAAGUUAAGCGAAAAAGGGAUUCUUCAUCAAAUGCAAUAGUGUUUGAUCCAGGACUCAAUUCUGUAUUCUCAACAACAUUCAGCAAAGGACACCAUAAAGUGAACUAUUUGUCACCAUGCGAUGGAACACCAUACUGUUCAGUCAUGAGAUGCACAUCACAUGACGCACCAUCCUCGCCAGUAAGAGCUAACGCCGUAUUAUCAUCCAUCAUACUCACUGUCACACACCACUUGCAGCAUUUGAAGCAAAGUUUGUGGGUUGCAGCUGAUUAUCGUAUUCAGAACUCAUGCUGCCAUUCUCCACCUUUCCACUUCCGAAAGUGUACUCGUUAUUAGAGCUUCCAUUAACCAAUGCAUGGUCUGUGUUGGAUUAUGCAGGUUUACAGUUGUUUAGGAGCUUGACUUAAAGAUGGAGUUGGUGUUAGUGAAUGAAAGUGCAGGCGGCAUGCUACUGUUACUACAUACGCUUUGGAUUAGACUGUUUUAGGUAGGUAAAUUUCAUGUUCUUUUUGCUCUGCUAGGAUCAUUUGUUGUGAAAGAAGUCAAAUUAAAAUGCUGGCUGAAGGAAAAUGUAGUGAUUAGUUGAAAAUUAAUUAGUUAAGAAAGAAAGAUUAGAUGACUAAUUUGCUAAUUAUGGAUAUAACUGCUAUGUCCCAGGUUAUUUACUGAAGCAUUAUGCUAGGCCCGAUGUUAGAUUUUAGGAAUGUUUUGCAUGAUUAAUUUAAGGUGUUUCCGGUGGUGCUGUUAUGAAUUAAGCAGGACUGUUAUGAUACUGAUUAUCAGGAUGCAUUGCGUUUGAAAUAUUUUACUUAAUGCAAUUGUAAACUAGUCCCUAUUAUGCUAUUGUUGUUAGAUUAUGAGCUAUUGUAAUUCCUGCCAACCUUGUUUUUUUCCCUAUGGUCACUGCUACUGAUUAUACCCUGCUGAUCGAGUUCUGACUUGAUGCAAGAUAUUGGUGGGUGGAUAAAUCAUUUUGGCUAGCUUAAGGACUUCCCAUACAGGAAGUUGAAGGAAAUUGAAGUGGUUGUAAAAUUAGAAAUUAGGCUUUGAAAAUUCAAAAUGUUAGAAGUUUGAUUUAUAAAUUGAAUUGAUGUAUUUUUUGAGCAAGUUAUGAAUGUAAAAUUGUUUGAAUGGAACAUGGGUUAAUUUGGAAAUUGAAUUUGGCUUAGGUUUCAACAUUUAUAUUUGUAAAAUGUGCAUGAAUUUAUUGUAAUAAACUUGUAUGGAAAUCUA